AUUGAACGCUGGCGGAAUGCUUUACACAUGCAAGUCGAACGGCAGCACGGACUUCGGUCUGGUGGCGAGUGGCGAACGGGUGAGUAAUGUAUCGGAACGUGCCCAGUCGUGGGGGAUAACGUAGUGAAAAUUACGCUAAUACCGCAUACGAUCUAUGGAUGAAAGCGGGGGAUCGCAAGACCUCGCGCGAUUGGAGCGGCCGAUAUAAGAUUAGGUAGUUGGUGGGGUAAAGGCCCACCAAGCCAACGAUCUGUAGCUGGUCUGAGAGGACGACCAGCCACACGGGUACUGAGACACGGUCCAGACUCCUACGGGGGGCAGCAGUGGGGAAUUUUGGACAAUGGGCGCAAGCCUGAUCCAGCCAUUCCGCGUGCAGGAUGAAGGCCCUCGGGUUGUAAACUGCUUUUGUACAGAACGAAAAGGUUUCUACUAAUACUAGGAGCUCAUGACGGUACUGUAAGAAUAAGCACCGGCUAACUACGUGCCAGCAGCCGCCGUAA
RNAcentral lists this ribosomal RNA (500 nucleotides) under uncultured bacterium. RNAcentral describes it as "partial 16S ribosomal RNA". It matches the Rfam family "Bacterial small subunit ribosomal RNA", at positions 30 to 523 of the family's 1533-position model. The record is from RNAcentral.